This 1065-nucleotide long non-coding RNA is filed under the name Mustela putorius furo (domestic ferret). RNAcentral describes it as "lncRNA (ENSMPUG00000026450.1)". Lineage: Eukaryota; Metazoa; Chordata; Mammalia; Carnivora; Mustelidae. The record is from RNAcentral.
UUUUUAGUGUAAACCUGAUGAUAGAAAUUUCCCAGCAUUCUGUUUCUCUACUUAGGAGCUGUACUUGGAGGAAAACUACCAAAAGACACACGCAGUUCUCCACCUCAAGUCAAUGGUCCAGGCAUAUACUCCAGCUGAAUUCAGAGACUAGACCAUUCUGUGAUUCCAAGGAGGAGGAGGAGGAGGAGGAGGAGAGCGUUACUUGCCAAACUUCAGACAUCUGCCUGCUGGCUGGCCAACCCCCACGGCAUCAUCUCUGAGAAGAUUGCAUGUCGCAGCUCCCAUCCUUGCCAAGUCAUGAAAGUAAAUAUACAAGCAGUAUUAAUAGCCUCUGGUAUUUUCAGCGCCCUGCUCGAACUCCGGAAAGGGAUCCCCUGAACAUUCCUAACUGAAGCAUGGUGAGAAGUGUCAUCUUUGCAAAGGCCGUUCGAGUCUUUAUGGGAAGGAUCUUUUUCAAUCGACUCGUCCAGUCAAGUUCCUAUGGCUGGUUCUAGGCCCCAGAGUAAAUGUAAGCGUUACCUGUAAGCAGUGAUCCUUCACCUGGGAGGAGAAAAGGUUAGGAAUCCCAGAUGAACAGCCAGAACACUCCGAAAAAUGUAGGAAGGCCUAGACCCAAUUUUACACACAACGUCAAGAGUCCAAGAGCCUUUGAAUCCCUUCCAUGGAUUCCAGAUUAGGAAUCUUUGGUCUAUCUUCUUUAACAUGUUCCCUCUGCAUUCUGUGAGAGUCUUUUAGAGAGAUUUAACAUUGAAAAUGAAACACUAGAAUCUGAGAGAGACUCUAGGUAGGCUAUCACUUUCCAUCACUAUCACAAACACUGAUCUUAAGUCCCUGACUAGAACCUACGGUGCCUUCUAAUGGGAUCUAAAUGGCACCUGGCAAUGGGGGGAAAGAGCCAGGUAGAAUAGACUCAUAAUUCCCGUAUGUUUUUACUGCCUCUGGCUUCUCUCUGUACCCCCCACCACCGCUUAUAAUCACAUACAUUAUCAUUCUAUCCCCAGUGUUUCUUUGACAUUGCGUUGUUCCUCAAUACCUGGGCAAGCCUGUAUAGUUUAAAAAUUGUUU